GCCUCUGUGGUGCAAUGACUAGCAUGUUGAACUUCUAAUUUAAAGGUUGUGGGUUCAAGUCCCGCCAGAGUCA
This is a non-coding RNA of Gymnothorax javanicus (giant moray), 73 nucleotides long. NCBI's taxonomy places the organism in Eukaryota, Metazoa, Chordata, Actinopteri, Anguilliformes, Muraenidae. The record is from the annotation of a GenBank genome assembly.